Pelobates cultripes (western spadefoot toad) is the source of this 76-nucleotide non-coding RNA. NCBI's taxonomy places the organism in Eukaryota, Metazoa, Chordata, Amphibia, Anura, Pelobatidae. The record is from the annotation of a GenBank genome assembly.
AAGUCAACGUUUCAGCUCCCACAUACGUAUGUUUUGUCCCGAUGAAAGAUCCAUGUGGGAGCUGAAACGUUGACUU